Felis catus (domestic cat) is the source of this 794-nucleotide long non-coding RNA. RefSeq lists it as uncharacterized. NCBI's taxonomy places the organism in Eukaryota, Metazoa, Chordata, Mammalia, Carnivora, Felidae. The record is from RefSeq and is a predicted model, not a curated record. The transcript is spliced from 2 exons.
GAGUGAUGCGUGUCCAGGUAGAGGUUUCCACCACCCCAGGACCCGGGAAUUUUGCUGACAAGGAUAACCAGCUGAGCUGGAUUUAGAGCAGUUCCUUAAUUGCUCUGGAGCAGUAACAGCAGUUAAAAAUUAAUACUAACUAUCAGUUGCGUGUAAAUGAUGUUCUAGGCACAGUGCUGAAGGCCACCUCUACAUUUUCUCAUUUAAUCUCCACAACAACCCGGUGAGGUAGCACUGCCACCCACCUUGACAGAUGAAGCUCAGGGAGUGUAAAUGACUUUGCCAGAGACACUACAGCGAGCGGCGGCGAGAGGACCCGAACACAACGCAUCCAGAAUGCUACCGUCGGAGAUAAAGUAGCCAACUGCUGUCUUCCAGUCAUACACCUCUGGUUUUGACCCAUGCUUACAAAUGGAGGUUAUCCAAAAGAAAAGCUACUCUUAAGUCCUGGAGAUGUGUACCAAGCUCUGUCUUCUCCACGUGGCCCGUCCAGCUCAGGCAUCUGUAUCUGGUGCCUGUUUUGGACUCCCUGUCUCUAGUCUCUCUCCUCUCACCAAUCUGUACUUCAGACCGUGGACAGAAACAGCUUUGAAAAACAUGCCUGUUUGAAAAUCUCCAGGGCUCCAGCUGCCUCCAGAAUAAAGUCUUUUCCCUGCUGGGCAGCCACUUCCCCAGCCCCUGCCUGCCGCACCCUGGUGCUCCAGCCCAAGCCGGAUCGCUCUGUGCCCUGAACGCUGAGCGCACUUCCAUGCCUUACUGUUAUUAUUAGCCCUUGCUAGUCCCUCUCCCUGCAA